AACGAACGCUGGCGGCAUGCCUAACACAUGCAAGUCGAACGAGACCUUCGGGUCUAGUGGCGCACGGGUGCGUAACGCGUGGGAACCUGCCCUUAGGUUCGGAAUAACUCCCCGAAAGGGUGCUAAUACCGGAUAAUGUCUUCGGACCAAAGAUUUAUCGCCUUUGGAUGGGCCCGCGUUGGAUUAGCUAGUUGGUAGGGUAAAAGCCUACCAAGGCGACGAUCCAUAGCUGGUCUGAGAGGAUGAUCAGCCACACUGGGACUGAGACACGGCCCAGACUCCUACGGGAAGCAGCAGUGGGGAAUAUUGGACAAUGGGCGAAAGCCUGAUCCAGCAAUGCCGCGUGAGUGAUGAAGGCCUUAGGGUUGUAAAGCUCUUUUACCCGGGAUGAUAAUGACAGUACCGGGAGAAUAAGCUCCGGCUAACUCCGUG
Molecule: ribosomal RNA, 432 nt
Filed under: uncultured bacterium
Lineage: Bacteria
Description: partial 16S ribosomal RNA
Rfam family: Bacterial small subunit ribosomal RNA
Source: RNAcentral